Balaenoptera acutorostrata (minke whale) is the source of this 347-nucleotide long non-coding RNA. RefSeq lists it as uncharacterized. NCBI's taxonomy places the organism in Eukaryota, Metazoa, Chordata, Mammalia, Artiodactyla, Balaenopteridae. The record is from RefSeq and is a predicted model, not a curated record. The transcript has 3 exons.
UUUUAUUUGUGUAAAAAGUGGAUGUGUAAGAAGCUAACAUAAUGAAACACCAAAAUGAUCAAGCAACAACACCAACAAAAAUACAACAUUUGUGAAAACAAGGCAGGACGCAUGGUGAAAAAUCCCAGACGGAGAGAAGAAAACCAACUCUCCAUCACUCACAUUUCUGGAGGCCUUGAAGGAAAGCAGGAUGUAUUUUCCAUAUUUAAAAUAAUGUGGUGUCAAAGACUUCCAUCAUAAAUAUGGUGCCUGUAUUUCCAGCAUUCCACAUACAAGUGAGAUCAUACGGAAUUCGUCAUUCUCUGUCUGACUUAUUUCACUUAGCAUAAUGCCCCCAAGGUCAGCCC